Molecule: unclassified non-coding RNA, 377 nt
Filed under: Hevea brasiliensis (rubber tree)
Lineage: Eukaryota; Viridiplantae; Streptophyta; Magnoliopsida; Malpighiales; Euphorbiaceae
Source: RNAcentral
GGACUCUGCAAAAUCUUCAAUGCAUGGAAACUCGUUCCAAAGGAAACUUACAAUAGUCAGAAGCGGGGGCACUCCUGCUGUAGAUAAACCAAAGCGAAGAACACCAGUAUCAUAUGGUGGGAGGUCUGCGGUGCCAGACAAAUCACAGCGCUCUAGGAGCAUGUCCUUUAGUCCUGAAAGGGUCCGUGUAAGGGGGAGGUCUCCUGCUUUCAAUGCAUUGGCUGCUAACUUCGAGAACCCUAGUUCAAGAAACCUUUCUACUCCACCCCCAGUUGUUAGAAAGAUCUAUCCAAAAUCAAUGAGCCCAGAUUCAGCAAAAUUAGCUACUGCGAAAUCUACAUCGAUAGCAGCCCUUAGUGCUAGCUUUGAACAGCCAC